GAUGAACGCUGGCGGCGUGCCUAGUACAUGCCAGUCGAGCGAACAGACGAGGAGCUUGCUCCUCUGACGUUAGCGGCGGACGGGUGAGUAACACGUGGAUAACCUACCUAUAAGACUGGGAUAACUUCGGGAAACCGGAGCUAAUACCGGAUAAUAUAUUGAACCGCAUGGUUCAAUAGUGAAAGACGGUUUUGCUGUCACUUAUAGAUGGAUCCGCGCCGCAUUAGCUAGUUGGUAAGGUAACGGCUUACCAAGGCAACGAUGCGUAGCCGACCUGUGAGGGUGAUCGGCCACACUGGAACUGAGACACGGUCCAGACUCCUACGGGAGGCAGCAGUAGGGAAUCUUCCGCAAUGGGCGAAAGCCUGACGGAGCAACGCCGCGUGAGUGAUGAAGGUCUUCGGAUCGUAAAACUCUGUUAUUAGGGAAGAACAAAUGUGUAAGUAACUAUGCACGUCUUGACGGUACCUAAUCAGAAAGCCACGGCUAACUACGUG
Molecule: ribosomal RNA, 497 nt
Filed under: uncultured bacterium
Lineage: Bacteria
Description: partial 16S ribosomal RNA
Rfam family: Bacterial small subunit ribosomal RNA
Source: RNAcentral